CAGUCGCCGCGGUAAUACGUAGGUGGCAAGCGUUGUCCGGAAUUAUUGGGCGUAAAGGGCUCGCAGGCGGUUUCUUAAGUCUGAUGUGAAAGCCCCCGGCUCAACCGGGGAGGGUCAUUGGAAACUGGGAAACUUGAGUGCAGAAGAGGAGAGUGGAAUUCCACGUGUAGCGGUGAAAUGCGUAGAGAUGUGGAGGAACACCAGUGGCGAAGGCGACUCUCUGGUCUGUAACUGACGCUGAGGAGCGAAAGCGUGGGGAGCGAACAGGAUUAGAUACCCCCGUAGUCUCUGUCUCUUAUAU
This 301-nucleotide ribosomal RNA is filed under the name uncultured bacterium. RNAcentral's name for it is "partial 16S ribosomal RNA". It matches the Rfam family "Bacterial small subunit ribosomal RNA", at positions 509 to 809 of the family's 1533-position model. The record is from RNAcentral.